GAUGAACGCUGGCGGCGUGCCUAAUACAUGCAAGUCGAGCGAACGGACGAGAAGCUUGCUUCUCUGAUGUUAGCGGCGGACGGGUGAGUAACACGUGGAUAACCUACCUAUAAGACUGGGAUAACUUCGGGAAACCGUAGCUAAUACCGGAUAACAUUUUGAACCGCAUGGUUCAAAAGUGAAAGACGGUCUUGCUGUCACUUAUAGAUGGAUCCGCGCUGCAUUAGCUAGUUGGUAAGGUAACGGCUUACCAAGGCAACGAUGCAUAGCCGACCUGAGAGGGUGAUCGGCCACACUGGAACUGAGACACGGUCCAGACUCCUAAGGGAGGCAGCAGUAGGGAAUCUUCCGCAAUGGGCGAAAGCCUGACGGAGCAACGCCGCGUGAGUGAUGAAGGUCUUCGGAUCGUAAAACUCUGUUAUUAGGGAAGAACAUAUGUGUAAGUAACUGUGCACAUCUUGACGGUACCUAAUCAGAAAGCCACGGCUAACUACGUG
This 497-nucleotide ribosomal RNA is filed under the name uncultured bacterium. RNAcentral's name for it is "partial 16S ribosomal RNA". It matches the Rfam family "Bacterial small subunit ribosomal RNA", at positions 28 to 507 of the family's 1533-position model. The record is from RNAcentral.